Molecule: long non-coding RNA, 895 nt
Filed under: Capra hircus (goat)
Lineage: Eukaryota; Metazoa; Chordata; Mammalia; Artiodactyla; Bovidae
Description: lncRNA (ENSCHIG00000005614.1)
Source: RNAcentral
CCGACAGGCUCCUAUCAGAGCUUCUCGCUGGCCACACGCCCCCCAGAGAGCAAGGGGCAAGGGAGCCUGGGCCACUGCUCACCAGGGCAGCCUCCCGGGCAGGAGCACAGUGAGGAGGCACAGCAAACAGACGUGCAGAGGCCCCUGGUCGACCCCAGCAGCCCCAGGUGCGUGGCCAGUAGGUGAGGAAGGCAGAAUUGCCACAUGGUGAAUGAAGACCUUCGGCUUCCUGAGUGGGGAUCAUCCAAGGAAACCCGACACACGCAUGCCUUCUAUUCCUCCAUUAUUUGCCUCUCCCCUUCCAGCGGCAACUGCUGUCCUAGGCCUUUCGCUGUGUCUGUUCUGUCCGCUGGAUGGAGUCCCUAAGGAUCCCUCUGUGCUGGCCACCUGCAAGGCUCAGACCCAUCCUGCCCAGCCCCCAGGUCCCGCCGCUCCCCGGCCUCGCCAGCACCUCGUGUCCUGGUCCCGUCACCCUGGCCGUCCAGCAGGUCCGUGCCGUCCGUCGGGCACUCGAGGCUCCUUCCCCCGGUCAUCUGCACAGCUGCUGUCUCUAGUGGCUCCGACACUCUUGAAAGCUGGCCCUCAUUCCAGGCAUAGCUGGCCUGCCAGCCUCGCUGCCCAAGGAGGCCCAGCAGAAGCCACUGUCAGCAGAAAGGCUUGCCUCGCUACAGCUGUGCGAAGCUCUCCCCAGCCCUGGACAGCUCCAGCCUUGGCAUCCCAGGGCUUGACCUGGGCGAGUCCUGAAUCUCUGGACCCCCAAGCCCCUCAGGCAGCGCCUCCCACAGGACUCGGCUGAGUGGUGCUGCAGGCCUGGACGUGCCAUCCUGCUCCCUGGCUGGGGAACUAAGACCCCACAUGCCACAAGGCACCGCCAAGGAAAGCAGAGACUUCCUGG